RNAcentral lists this ribosomal RNA (1611 nucleotides) under compost metagenome. RNAcentral's name for it is "bacterial LSU rRNA". It matches the Rfam family "Bacterial large subunit ribosomal RNA", at positions 646 to 2242 of the family's 2925-position model. The record is from RNAcentral.
CUAACCGCAUAGGGGAGCCGUAGGGAAACCGAGUCCGAACAGGGCGCUUCAGUCGCUGGGAAUAGACCCGAAGCCGGUCGAUCUAUCCAUGUCCAGGGUGAAGGUGAGGUAAUACUCACUGGAGGCCCGAACGAACCACUGUUGCAAUAGUGAGUCGAUGAGGUGUGGAUAGGAGUGAAAGGCUAAUCAAGGCCGGCGAUAGCUGGUUCUCCCCGAAAGCUAUUUAGGUAGUGCCUCAUCGAGCACUCCUGGGGGUAGAGCACUGUUUAGGCUAGCGGGCCAUCCCGGCUUAGCAAACCUAUGCAAACUCCGAAUACCAGGAAGUGAACCGGUGGGAGACACACGGCGGGUGCUAACGUCCGUCGUGGAAAGGGAAAUAACCCAGACCGCCAGCUAAGGCCCCAAUUCAUGGCUAAGUGGUGAACGAUGUGGGAAGGCACAGACAGCCAGGAGGUUGGCUUAGAAGCAGCCAUCCUUUAAAGAAAGCGUAAUAGCUCACUGGUCUAGUCGGCCCGCGCGGAAGAUUUAACGGGGCUCAAGCCAUGAGCCGAAGCUGCGGAUCUGCACGCAAGUGCAGGUGGUAGGGGAGCGUUCUGUACGCCUGCGAAGGUGCACUGCGAGGUGUGCUGGAGGUAUCAGAAGUGCGAAUGCUGACAUGAGUAACGUUAAUGCGGGUGAAAAACCCGCACGCCGAAAACCCAAGGUUUCCUGCUCAACGUUAAUCGGAGCAGGGUGAGCCGGUUCCUAAGACGAGACCGAAAGGUGUAGCCGAUGGAAAACAGGUCAACAUUCCUGUGCCCGGUGUGACUGCGAUGGGGUGACGGAGAAGGCUAGUUCAGCAGGGGUUGGUUCCCUGUUUAAGCAUGUAGGAGGAGUUGCUAGGCAAAUCCGGCGGCUCUUAACUCCGAGGUGUGAUGACGAGGUCCCACGCGGACCGAAGUGAAUAACGCCCGCUUCCAGGAAAAGCCUCUAAGCUUCAGAUCACAUUGGACCGUACCGCAAACCGACACUGGUGGGCGAGCAGAUAAUCUGCCAAGGCGCUUGAGAGAACUCGGGUUAAGGAACUCUGCAAAUUGAUACCGUAACUUCGGAAGAAGGUAUGCCUUCGACGGUGUAGGGACUUGCUCCCGAAGCUGUUGAAGGUCGCAGGUAAUCGGUGGCUGCGACUGUUUAUCAAAAACACAGGACUCUGCGAACACGUAAGUGGAUGUAUAGGGUCUGACGCCUGCCCGGUGCCGGAAGGUUAAUUGAUGGGGUCAGCCGCAAGGCGAAGCUCUUGAUCGAAGCCCCGGUAAACGGCGGCCGUAACUAUAACGGUCCUAAGGUAGCGAAAUUCCUUGUCGGGUAAGUUCCGACCUGCACGAAUGGCGUAACGCUGGCCACACUGUCUCGACCCGAGACUCAGUGAAGUUGAAAUCGCUGUGAAGAUGCGGCGUUCCCGCGGCAAGACGGAAAGACCCCGUGAACCUUCACUACAGCUUUACACUGAACUUUGAACCUUCUUGUGUAGGAUAGGUGGGAGGCUAUGAAGCCUGGGCGCUAGCUCAGGUGGAGCCAACCUUGAAAUACCACCCUGGAAUGUUCGAAGUUCUAACCUAGGCCCGUCAUCCG